Molecule: ribosomal RNA, 381 nt
Filed under: Alphamyces sp.
Lineage: Eukaryota; Fungi; Chytridiomycota; Chytridiomycetes; Rhizophydiales; Alphamycetaceae
Description: partial small subunit ribosomal RNA
Rfam family: Eukaryotic small subunit ribosomal RNA
Source: RNAcentral
AGCUCCAAUAGUAUAUAUUAGUGUUGUUGCAGUUAAAGCGCUCGUAGUUGGAUUUUGGAAUUGUUGCUCGGGUCCUCCGAAAGGUGCGCACUCUUGCAAUUGUUCUUCCUUCUGAAGAACAUACAUACUCUUUAUUGGGUGUGUGUGCAAUUCAGGACUUUUACUUUGAAAAAAUUAGAGUGUUCAAAGCAGGCCUUAACUUGAAUACAUUAGCAUGGAAUAAUAAAAUAGGACUUUGGUUUUAUUUUGUUGGUUUUCGGAACUAAAGUAAUGAUUAAUAGGGAUAGUUGGGGCCAUCAGUAUUUCUUCGUCAGAGGUGAAAUUCUUGGAUUGAAGAAAGACUAACUUCUGCGAAAGCAUUUGGCAAGGAUGUUUUCAUUA